RNAcentral lists this small RNA (100 nucleotides) under Pan troglodytes (chimpanzee). Its description in RNAcentral is "processed transcript". Lineage: Eukaryota; Metazoa; Chordata; Mammalia; Primates; Hominidae. The record is from RNAcentral.
CGCGAGUGGUCCCCGGGCCGGUUGCCUGGCCAGCAGCGGCAGCGGGAGCUGUCCGGAGGCCGGCGUCGAGGGUUUGCCGCUGUCUCUGCUAUUCCAUCCU